This 443-nucleotide ribosomal RNA is filed under the name uncultured bacterium. RNAcentral's name for it is "partial 16S ribosomal RNA". It matches the Rfam family "Bacterial small subunit ribosomal RNA", at positions 338 to 795 of the family's 1533-position model. The record is from RNAcentral.
CCUACGGGUGGCAGCAGUGGGGAAUAUUGGACAAUGGGGGGAACCCUGAUCCAGCGACGCCGCGUGAGUGAAGAAGUAUUUCGGUAUGUAAAGCUCUAUCAGCAGGGACGAAAGAAAUGACGGUACCUGACUAAGAAGCCCCGGCUAACUACGUGCCAGCAGCCGCGGUACUACGUAGGGGGCAAGCGUUAUCCGGAUUUACUGGGUGUAAAGGGAGCGUAGACGGUUACGCAAGUCUGGAGUGAAAGGCGGGGGCCCAACCCCCGGACUGCUGUGGAAACUGGAUAACGGGAGUGCAGGAGAGGUAAGUGGAAUUCCUAGUGUAGCGGUGAAAUGCGUAGAUAUUAGGAGGAACACCAGUGGCGAAGGCGGCUUACUGGACUGUAACUGACGUUGAGGCGCGAAAGCGUGGGGAGCAAACAGGAUUAGAUACCCCUGUAGUC